RNAcentral lists this ribosomal RNA (255 nucleotides) under uncultured prokaryote. RNAcentral's name for it is "partial 16S ribosomal RNA". It matches the Rfam family "Bacterial small subunit ribosomal RNA", at positions 521 to 775 of the family's 1533-position model. The record is from RNAcentral.
UAAUACGGAGGGUGCAAGCGUUAUCCGGAUUCACUGGGUUUAAAGGGUGCGUAGGUGGGCAGGUAAGUCAGUGGUGAAAUCCUGUAGCUUAACUACAGAACUGCCAUUGAUACUAUCUGUCUUGAAUACCCUGGAGGUGAGCGGAAUAUGUCAUGUAGCGGUGAAAUGCUUAGAUAUGACAUAGAACACCCAUUGCGAAGGCAGCUCACUACGGGAAUAUUGACGCUGAGGCGCGAAAGCGUGGGGAUCAAACAG